GAUCAUGGCUCAGGAUGAACGCUAGCUACAGGCUUAACACAUGCAAGUCGAGGGGCAGCAUUUUAGUUUGCUUGCAAACUAAAGAUGGCGACCGGCGCACGGGUGAGUAACACGUAUCCAACCUGCCGAUAACUCGGGGAUAGCCUUUCGAAAGAAAGAUUAAUAUCCGAUAGCAUAUUGAGAUCGCAUGAUUUUGUAUAUUAAAGAAAUUUACGGUUUAUCGAUGGGGAGUGCGUU
Molecule: ribosomal RNA, 237 nt
Filed under: uncultured bacterium
Lineage: Bacteria
Description: partial 16S ribosomal RNA
Rfam family: Bacterial small subunit ribosomal RNA
Source: RNAcentral